CAAUAGCGUAUAUUUAAGUUGCUGCAGUUAAAAAGCUCGUCGUUGGAUUUCGGGUGGGAAUGGCCGGUCCGCCGUUUCGGUGUGCACUUGCUACGCCCACCUUGCUGCCGGGGACGUGCUCUUGAGUUCACGCUCGGGACACGGAGUCGGCGAGGUUACUUUGAGUAAAUUAGAGUGUUCAAAGCAGGCCUACGCUCUGAAUACAUUAGCAUGGAAUAACACGAUAGGACUCUGGCCUAUCUUGUUGGUCUGUAGGACCGGAGUAAUGAUUAAGAGGGACAGUCGGGGGCAUUCGUAUUUCAUUGUCAGAGGUGAAAUUCUUGGAUUUAUGAAAGACGAACUACUGCGAAAGCAUUUGCCAAGGAUGUUUUCAUUAA
Molecule: ribosomal RNA, 377 nt
Filed under: uncultured eukaryote
Lineage: Eukaryota
Description: partial 18S ribosomal RNA
Rfam family: Eukaryotic small subunit ribosomal RNA
Source: RNAcentral